GCGAGUAUUCUCCUCCAAAACUCAAUUUUCCUGAAUUUCUGUUUUUCGGUAUGGGUGUUUUUUUUUUUUUUUUUUUUUUUUUGUAUUUGUGUUUAUUUAUUUAUUUAUCUUUUUUAUUUUGCAUGUUAUAGUUUUAUUAAGCUAAUGGGAAUAUACUUCUUUUCUUCAUUUUCUUCCUUUUAAAAAAAAUCAUUUUGCUUUUUUAUUUUUUUAAUUCUGUUUGUUUUAUUCAGCAAAAAUGCUUCUCUAAAACCCAGUUUUCUUUGAUUUCUGUUUUUGUUUUUAGUGGAAUUUAUUUAUUUUGGAUUUCUAUGUGAGUUUUUUUCCUUUGUUCUUCUUUUUUUUCAUCUUCUUCUUCGUCUUUUUGUUCAUUUUUCUUCUUUAUCUGUCGGUUUUAUUCAGCAAUAAUUCUCCUCCAAAACCCAAUUUUCUUGGAUUUCUGUUGUCUGGUAUUUUAGAAAUUCCUCUCCUUUUUUUUUGGAACGUUAAGAGUUUUAUUAAGCUGGUGGACAAAUGCUUAUUUUGUGCACAUUUUUUUUUUUCAUUUUUAUUCUUUUUGUUUAAUUAAGCAAUAUUUCUCAUCCAAAACGCAAUUUUUUGGAUAUCUGUUCUGUUGAAUUUUUU
Magnolia sinica is the source of this 624-nucleotide long non-coding RNA. RefSeq lists it as uncharacterized. The transcript has 2 exons. The record is from RefSeq and is a predicted model, not a curated record. NCBI's taxonomy places the organism in Eukaryota, Viridiplantae, Streptophyta, Magnoliopsida, Magnoliales, Magnoliaceae.